RNAcentral lists this transfer RNA (75 nucleotides) under Heliconius melpomene (postman butterfly). Its description in RNAcentral is "tRNA HMEL006617". The record is from RNAcentral. Lineage: Eukaryota; Metazoa; Arthropoda; Insecta; Lepidoptera; Nymphalidae.
UCAGUCGUGGUGCAUCGGUUGCAAGGUGUGACUGUGAUCGCAUCAGGUUGUGGGUUCGAUUCCCACUCGAUUAAA